UUAGGACACCAUUGCCGCCGCGGCCAUAACCUUGGGCUUCUACGUGAUCCAAUUCCAAUAUCUACCCCCCAAUACCUAGGCAACUAGGUGCUAGCUGUUGCGCGUGUUGGCAUCUUACUGCCCAGUCAGCUAGGCGAUGUACGUUGUGCGCCUGCUGCUUGGUGUCACUCUUGUUGUAAUGUUGUUGUUCGACUGAUGUCGGUUACUGCUGCCGUUAUAGACGAUUCUUAUGAUGUAUCGGCGGGAGUGUGUGGUUCUUCAAAAAAAUAUUACUAGCACACGAGCAACUUUCUUUUCAAGGUUUCUUGCUAGUACAUCACUAGUGUACUAGACUAUUGAUUAGUGCGUGAUUGAUGAUAUAGUUACUGCUGAUUAGUGCA
Hordeum vulgare subsp. vulgare (domesticated barley) is the source of this 380-nucleotide long non-coding RNA. RefSeq lists it as uncharacterized. The transcript is spliced from 2 exons. The record is from RefSeq and is a predicted model, not a curated record. NCBI's taxonomy places the organism in Eukaryota, Viridiplantae, Streptophyta, Magnoliopsida, Poales, Poaceae.